UGCAGCCUUGUCAAAUUCAGUGUGUUCUUUCAAAUGGACCUCACUGGCCAAAAUGGCUGCCACAUCGACUGUAGUUCAUGGGCCCCGCUUCCUAGUUUCAUGGGCAGUGGGGAUAAAUAUGUACUACAAACAAAU
This 135-nucleotide small nucleolar RNA is filed under the name Stegastes partitus (bicolor damselfish). RNAcentral describes it as "Small nucleolar RNA SNORA5 (ENSSPAG00000018141.1)". It matches the Rfam family "Small nucleolar RNA SNORA5". From Rfam's summary of the family: ACA5 is a member of the H/ACA class of snoRNA that guide the sites of modification of uridines to pseudouridines. Lineage: Eukaryota; Metazoa; Chordata; Actinopteri; Pomacentridae. The record is from Rfam by way of RNAcentral.